Molecule: long non-coding RNA, 1328 nt
Organism: Pogona vitticeps (central bearded dragon)
Lineage: Eukaryota; Metazoa; Chordata; Lepidosauria; Squamata; Agamidae
Source: Ensembl
CCACAGCUUUCUGACAGAGAACAAUCCAGCCAUAGCAACAGUUGCUAAGUUCCCUUGCCUAGACUUGAGCUUCAGUUCUCACCAAAUCUCCACAGCUGGAAACAUAUUUACAUGCAAUUACUGCUCAAUAAUUAGUGUGUGGAAACAAAGCUUCCAUGAUCAAGUAUGUGGCCCUGGCUGGCUUCUUGUGGGGGAGCAGAAGGAGGAGAGUGAUUCUUUCUCAGUAAGAUGAUGUCCAGAAAAGUCCUGGAAGCCAUUCUGGGAAUUAUCAGUGAGAUGGCAUGCACAGUAGAAAAUGGCAAAACCAAGUAACGACAUAGGUAAAAGCAUUUACAAUAACCCAGCCAGUAAUCCUGACAUCAAACACACAACACGCUCUUCCGAGCUGCAUCGACGUAAGGCUGUGCUGGCGCAGGCAGGAUAUGCCGGCGCAGGCAGGAUCUGCCAGCUCAACAUCUCCUGAUAACACUGAGAAGAAAGACAGGAGGGAAAGCAAAAGCAUCUAUCGCAAUCAGCAGGCAACGCACAGGCCUAUUGUGUCCUGAUGUUCUAUUGUCGAAAGCCUUGGCUGGAGAGUAAGGCUGCUGCAGUCCCACUGCAUUCAGAAACUCAGAUGCAAAAUGCAUGUAGGACUUAUAAAUAUACCCUGAAGUACUCAGCUGCUUAGGGAAUGACACCAAGGUGACCCAUAGGGUACUAUUCACACAUUCUGGCACAGAGAGAAAAACAGAAAAUGCUUUUCAGAGGAUGAGCUGAAAGAAUGCUGUUGUAUUGCUGUUUUUUCCCCAGGUAUUUUCUCCUGCGUGGCCAACAGUGCAAGGUGGAUAAAUUGGAAAAGGGGCACAAACACAGAAGUGCAAGAUGGAGAAGGGUUUAAAUGUAGGGACAGAAAGCCUUCAGGUUAAAUCUUCCCCUCCUCCUUGCCUUUUCUGUCAUAUAUCUGUGAUCUAAAUGAUAUCCACUCCAAGGUAAGGGAAGAACAGGUACUUGAAAGGGUAAAACUGGGAGGCCAACUAAAUUAUUUUGCCUUAUGGACAGUAUAAAACCGAAGCUGGUCCUAUUUGCCAGAUAAAACGUCUCCAGUGGUUAAGUGCCACACAGAACUUGCAGCUAUUGGGACUUUGCAGCUUUGAGCUGCAAAGUCCUUCCUGAUUAGGAGAGUUUGUUCUAUGUUUAAGACUUUGAAUGAAGAGGAUAGUGAUGACAGAAUGAUAGUGGAAUAACAUUUCAAGUUUUCUGAGCAGCAGACUACAUUUAGUAUAACAGGCAACACACCACAGAAUCUCCAUGUGCAUGCAGAAAUUCAAUAAAUGUGUAUUCACAAUCCA